This is a non-coding RNA of Paramuricea clavata, 246 nucleotides long. The record is from the annotation of a GenBank genome assembly. Lineage: Eukaryota; Metazoa; Cnidaria; Anthozoa; Malacalcyonacea; Plexauridae.
CUAUUUUCUUACCCAUAAAAAUUGCCAUUCCAUAUUUUUGUUGCUUUUUUCGGGGUUUUUUAGUACAGAAUUGUUCAACAAGUCGUCCAAAAAAUCAUCAGACACUUCGGCAAAAGUGCAAAACACGAAUUUUCCGCCAUUUUGAAUUUUCUAUUAGUAGGCUAUCACUAAUAGCCUACUAGUAGCGUAGCCAAUCAGAAGGCACGAUAUGUGAUAGCCUACUAGUAGGUUUAUACUAAUAUAGUA